RNAcentral lists this ribosomal RNA (505 nucleotides) under uncultured bacterium. RNAcentral's name for it is "partial 16S ribosomal RNA". It matches the Rfam family "Bacterial small subunit ribosomal RNA", at positions 29 to 522 of the family's 1533-position model. The record is from RNAcentral.
AGUGAACGCUGGCGGUAGGCCUAACACAUGCAAGUCGAACGGCAGCACAGGAGAGCUUGCUCUCUGGGUGGCGAGUGGCGGACGGGUGAGGGAUACAUCGGAAUCUACUCUGUCGUGGGGGAUAACGUAGGGAAACUUACGCUAAUACCGCAUACGACCUACGGGGGAAAGCAGGGGACCUUCGGGCCUUGCGCGAUUGAAUGAGCCGAUGUCGGAUUAGCUAGUUGGCGGGGUAAAGGCCCACCAAGGCGACGAUCCGUAGCUGGUCUGAGAGGAUUAUAGGCCUCAAUGGAACUGAGACACGGUCCAGACUCCUGCGGGAGGCAGCAGUGGGGAAUAUUGGACAAUGGGCGCAAGCCGGAUCCAGCCAUACGGCGUGGGUGAAGAAGGCGUUCGGGUUGUAAAGCCCUUUUGUUGGGAAAGAAAUCCAGCUGGCUAAUACCCGGUUGGGAUGACGGUACCCAAAGAAUAAGCACCGGCUAACUUCGUGCCAGCAGCCGCGGUA